AGUGAACGCUGGCGGUAGGCCUAACACAUGCAAGUCGAACGGCAGCACAGUAAGAGCUUGCUCUUACGGGUGGCGAGUGGCGGACGGGUGAGGAAUACAUCGGAAUCUACUUUUUCGUGGGGGAUAACGUAGGGAAACUUACGCUAAUACCGCAUACGACCUACGGGUGAAAGCAGGGGAUGUUCGGACCUUGCGCGAUUGAAUGAGCCGAUGUCGGAUUAGAUAGUUGGCGGGGUAAAGGCCCACCAAGGCGACGAUCCGUAGCUGGUCUGAGAGGAUGAUCAGCCACACUGGAACUGAGACACGUCCCAGACUCCGACGGGAGGCAGCAGUGGGGAAUAUUGGACAAUGGGCGCAAGCCUGAUCCAGCCAUACCGCGUGGGUGAAGAAGGCCUUCGGGUUGUAAAGCCCUUUUGUUGGGAAAGAAAAGCAGCAGGUUAAUACCCCGCUGUUCUGACGGUACCCAAAGAAUAAGCACCGGCUAACUUCGUG
Molecule: ribosomal RNA, 492 nt
Filed under: uncultured bacterium
Lineage: Bacteria
Description: partial 16S ribosomal RNA
Rfam family: Bacterial small subunit ribosomal RNA
Source: RNAcentral